CCUACGGGCGGCAGCAGUGAGGAAUAUUGGUCAAUGGAUGAGAGUCUGAACCAGCCAAGUAGCGUGAAGGAUGACUGCCCUAUGGGUUGUAAACUUCUUUUAUAUGGGAAUAAAAUGUUCCACGUGUGGGAUUUUGUAUGUACCAUAUGAAUAAGGAUCGGCUAACUCCGUGCCAGCAGCCGCGGUAAUACGGAGGAUCCGAGAGUUAUCCGGAUUUAUUGGGUUUAAAGGGAGCGUAGGUGGAUUGUUAAGUCAGUUGUGAAAGUUUGCGGCUCAACCGUAAAAUUGCAGUUGAAACUGGCAGUCUGGAGUACAGUAGAGGUGGGCGGAAUUCGUGGUGUAGCGGUGAAAUGCUUAGAUAUCACGAAGAACUCCGAUUGCGAAGGCAGCUCACUGGACUGCAACUGACACUGAGGCUCGAAAGUGUGGGUAUCAAACAGGAUUAGAUACCCCUGUAGUC
RNAcentral lists this ribosomal RNA (460 nucleotides) under uncultured bacterium. RNAcentral's name for it is "partial 16S ribosomal RNA". It matches the Rfam family "Bacterial small subunit ribosomal RNA", at positions 338 to 795 of the family's 1533-position model. The record is from RNAcentral.